AUGGUGAAAUGGUCGUGGAAGCUCGAAACACAAAGUGGGGUAUGGCAAGAUAUUAUUCGUGCUCGCUACUUGCGGAAUAGGACAGUAGCGGAUGUUGCCCCAAGGUUUUCUGACUCUCCGAGCUGGAAAGCCCUACUGAAAGUCAAGGAAAUUUAUAUGGCUGGUAGAAAAGUUAUUGUUGAAUCACAGAACAUUGCUAGGGUGUGGAGCGAUCCUAUUAACGGACUGCUUACGUUCAAGGAUCAAUAUCUGCAGCUCUUUAAUGUUUGUAAUGUCCCUAAGUGCACCAUUAAACAAGUGCUAAGUGUGGAGACCGACUCCUUUUUCAGGCGCAGGCUUAAUCCUGCUCUUGCUGAACAA
This 360-nucleotide ribosomal RNA is filed under the name Triticum aestivum (bread wheat). RNAcentral describes it as "partial small subunit ribosomal RNA". Lineage: Eukaryota; Viridiplantae; Streptophyta; Magnoliopsida; Poales; Poaceae. The record is from RNAcentral.